AUACGUAGGUGACAAGCGUUAUCCGGAUUUACUGGGCGUAAAGGGCGUGUAGGCGGUCUUGCAAGUCAGAAGUGAAAUUCCUGAGCUCAACUCGGGCGCUGCUUCUGAAACUGCAGGACUUGAGUGCUGGAGGGGAUAGCGGAAUUCCUAGUGGAGCGGUAAAAUGCGCAGAUAUUAGGAAGAACACCGGUGGCGAAGGCGGCUAGCUGGACAGUAACUGACGCUGAGGCGCGAAAGCGUGGGGAGCAAACAGGAUUAGAUUCCCUGGUAGUCCACGCUGUAAACGAUGAAUACUAGGUGUAGGGGGUAUCGACUCCCUCUGUGCCGCAGUUAACACAAUAAGUAUUCCGCCUGGGGAGUACGGCCGCAAGGUUGAAACUCAAAUGAAUUGGCGGGG
Molecule: ribosomal RNA, 397 nt
Filed under: uncultured bacterium
Lineage: Bacteria
Description: partial 16S ribosomal RNA
Rfam family: Bacterial small subunit ribosomal RNA
Source: RNAcentral